RNAcentral lists this ribosomal RNA (1318 nucleotides) under metagenome. Its description in RNAcentral is "bacterial LSU rRNA". It matches the Rfam family "Bacterial large subunit ribosomal RNA", at positions 1563 to 2925 of the family's 2925-position model. The record is from RNAcentral.
GGAUUGGGAGGGUUCUACGGAACCCGUUUGGUGAAUCUAGUGCCGAGAAAAGCCUUCUAUGUGUUGAAUUUCUAGUACCCGUACCCCAAACCGACACAGGUGGGUGGGUAGAGCAUACCUAGGGGCGCGUGAUAACUCUCUCUAAGGAACUCGGCAAAAUGGCCCUGUAACUUCGGGAUAAGGGGUGCCUGCGUGAGCAGGCCGCAGUGAAAUGGCUCUGGCGACUGUUUACCAAAAACACAGGUCUCUGCUAAGUCGUAAGACGAUGUAUAGGGGCUGACUCCUGCCCAGUGCCGGAAGGUUAAGGAAGUUGGUUAGCGCAAGCGAAGCUGGCGACCGAAGCCCCGGUGAACGGCGGCCGUAACUAUAACGGUCCUAAGGUAGCGAAAUUCCUUGUCGGGUAAGUUCCGACCCGCACGAAAGGAGUAACGAUCAGAGCGCUGUCUCGGAGAGAGACACGGCGAAAUAGGAUUGUCCGUGAAGAUACGGACUACCUGCACCCGGACAGAAAGACCCUAUGAAGCUUUACUGUAACUUGGAAUUGUGUUCGGACUUUGUCUGCGCAGAAUAGGUGGGAGGCUAUGAAACGUUCCUCGCGGGGAACUGGAGCCAUCGUUGAGAUACCACUCUGGCAGAGUCUGGAUUCUAACCUACGGGGACAGUUCCAGGUGGGCAGUUUGACUGGGGCGGUCGCCUCCUAUAAUGUAACGGAGGCGCGCAAAGGUUCCCUCAGGCUGGUUGGAAAUCAGCCAUAGAGUGUAAAAGCAUAAGGGAGCUUGACUGUGAGACCUACAAGUCGAGCAGGGACGAAAGUCGGCUUUAGUGAUCCGACGGCACUGAGUGGAAGGGCCGUCGCUCAACGGAUAAAAGUUACUCUAGGAUAACAGGCUGAUCUCCCCCAAGAGUUCACAUCGACGGGGAGGUUUGGCACCUCGAUGUCGGCUCGUCGCAACCUGGGGCGGUAGUACGUCCCAAGGGUUGGGCUGUUCGCCCAUUAAAGCGGCACGUGAGCUGGGUUCAGAACGUCGUGAGACAGUUCGGUCCAUAUCCGGUGUAGGCGUAGGAGCAUUGAAAGGAUCUCUCCUUAGUACGAGAGGACCGGGAGGGACGUACCUCUGGUGUACCUGUUAUCGUGCCAACGGUAAACGCAGGGUAGCCAUGUACGGAGUGGAUAACCGCUGAAAGCAUCUAAGUGGGAAGCCCACCUUAAGAUGAGUGCUCCCUUGAGGCCACGGGAAGACGACCCGUUUGAUAGGCGCUAGGUGGAAGUGCAGUAAUGCAUGCAGCCGAGGCGUACUAAUAGGCCGAUGGCUUGUCC